GUCCUGGAGCCUAUGAAGACAAUGGUAACUCUCAGGGUGGUUGUGAGGUAACAGGAUACCCAGCCUCUGCGAGGACCGCGGAGCCAUCGAGAGCUCAUCUGCUGCCUGUUUGAGGUGGAGGUCUGAGCUGGAUUUUAUGGGAGCUAGAAUGUGUGUGUCUUACCACAGAAGAAUCUAGGUUCUCUCAUCUCUCCUUAAGCAGGGGCCGCUGACAGUUUCAGCUCGAGUAGGAGUCUCAUCUCCCUCUCGCCUGUGGCUCAUCUAGUGCAGACACCCAGGAGCCUCCCUCACCCCCCUCAGCUCACUCUGAGUGUGUCACUACAGCUCCAGUAAGCUUGGUGCCUGCUUUCCUCUCUCAGCCACAUGGAUCCCUCACCACAGCAGGGCCAGAGACCCAGAAGGAAACAAGAGGACUUCCCCACAGGCCAUCACCCAUUGCAGGUUUGCAGCGUGGGGAAGGGAGGAGACAGUUUAGCAGGAGAGGCCAGUGUUUGGAAUUGCUGGUAAGUUGAGAUGUGAGGGCCUACCAUGCAUGACCAGCAAACACAGUCCAAGCAAGGAUAAGAAUAAAUGGCCCAGGCAAGGCCCAGCUGGACCUAAGGCUCUGGCUUACCACACCAGAGCACUGUGCUCACUCUCUGAGGCCUCUGUGACCUCGGCCACAGAGCUGAUCACCCCUCCCAGAAGUCCAGAUCAGAUCUUAGGCAGGGCCAUGCACCUCUGAAGGCUCUAGGAGAGGGUCCUUCAUGAGCUUGUUGACAUCUGAGCUUGUUGACAUCGGUGUUUCCACGUCCUGAGUGUCCCUUGGCUCCUAUGGCCAUCUCUGUGCUUUCUGCUGUUCCUCACCUCAUAGUAGUCCCCACCCCAUCUGUCUCUCUCCCUCCCCCCUUCUUACAGGACUCCUGUGCUCAGGGAUUAGAGUCCAUUCUACGCCAUCAUGAACUAAUUAUAGCCAAUCUGUGCUGAAUGACCCUGUUUUCAAAUACAAUUGCAUUCCGAAUCAGGGGCCAUACAGAAGUCCACCCCUCCCCAUCAUCCUCUGCAGGGUUGAUUUCUGAGUAAGGUCGUCUUCCUGAGAGGACUGAGAGGAUCCAUCUGUAGAGGAUGAGGAGAGAUGUCCCUUCCAAGGUUUCAGCCCCCAACACUGGCAAUCCAUAGACCCCCCUUCUUAUGCUUUCGCGUGCCAGGGUCACCUGUUCCCACGUGACCUUGCUUCCCAUGGGGACAGCUCCUAACCUGCCAGUCCUCACCUGGGACCUUGCCUGGUUGCUUUGAGUUCCCCUGAAAGAACUCAGUGAUCCUGGUUUAGAGGGUGAGAAGGUAUCUUCAGGUGAACCUGUCAGGAUUGCUGGAUGUGAGAGUUGAAGCCAUGGGUCUGAUAACUUUCAGUUAACAGCGACUCCAGGCAGCUGUUUGGCUAUGAGUGGUCCUAGAAGAAACAUGGCAGCUGCCAGGUGCUGAGACUUUGACUGACACAACACCCAGCAUCGAGCAAAACUCCCGAUGGUGUCGACCACUGCAGCUCCAAACAGAAGACAGAGUGUGAACUUGGAAAUCGGGGCUCUUGCAGGGUACAGAUAGAUGCAGAGAAACACGGAGCCCUGAACCUUCAAAGCUGCCAGCCUGAUACUUCCCUGCUAGGAAGCAGACCAGAAGCAUUGCUCUGGAUUCCCCUCAAAACAAUAACAGACAAGCAAACCCAAACCCCAAACUCAAAGUAAGUUACAUCAGGGAUCGCCUAACAUCGUGUCCAGCCAAACUGUGUUUUAUCAGGUUCUGUGGAAGGGGCUCAAUAGUUCCUGGGUGAAUGUAUAGAACCUCCAAUCUACUUUAGAGUUUCCUCAGAUUACACUGGAGCAGACAGCCUAAGCAGCUGAGGACUGACAGCUUGCCAUGCACGGGGGUGGGGGUGGGGUGGUAACAAAUGCACUUAAACACUGAAAAACCAGGAAAGCGAGACACUUAUGGGAAAGCCCUCACCAUGAUAAUUAGCUAGCAGGAAAGUCCAAUUCAAUACUGCAGUACGUUCAUGGGCUCACUGCAUACCCAUCAUCAGCUUCGGUUGGUGGUCCAGAGAAUACACAUUGAGUGACUUCCCUUCAUUUUGAAGGUGGUAAUA
Molecule: long non-coding RNA, 2119 nt
Organism: Mus musculus (house mouse)
Lineage: Eukaryota; Metazoa; Chordata; Mammalia; Rodentia; Muridae
Product: predicted gene, 31845
Exons: 3
Source: RefSeq, a predicted model, not a curated record